This 1712-nucleotide unclassified non-coding RNA is filed under the name Leishmania donovani. Its description in RNAcentral is "gene:unknown". The record is from RNAcentral. Lineage: Eukaryota; Euglenozoa; Kinetoplastea; Trypanosomatida; Trypanosomatidae.
UGUCUUCACAUGGCUCCUCUUAUCACCAUCAACCCUGUGCGCCUCCUCUCUGAUGCCGCUUUCUCGCCCUGUUCGUGCAUGAGUUUGUGUGAGUCUGUCUCCGUCUCUCUCUCUCUCUGCACGUUGGCCUGGCCUAUGCAUGUCGCCUCAUGAGUUAUUGCUCUUUACGUAUGCGCCGUAUCGUUCCAGGCGAGUGUGUGCAAGUGUUGUGUGCCCGUCUUUUGCCCUUCUCUCCCCACCCCCGCCCUUUGUUCUUCAUUGUCUUUUCUCUGCUCACGUCUACCUCUCCGUGGAAAGAGGUUGACGACGCGUGUAGAUGCCGAUAUACAUACAUGUAUGCGUGUGCGCGCGCCUAAGUUUAUUGUGCAGGACCUACGUUGUAUCGUCAUCUCACUUGUCCCUCCUUCUUUAUGGCGGUGAUGCGGUAUAUGAGCCACAUUCUCAUCUGCUGCCUCACACCUCACAUGUACUGUCAUGGUCAUCGCCUCUCUUGUUCUUCAAUGUUCUUUGCUGUUUCCUGCGCCUGUGUGGUCUCGUGUGCUCCCCCUCCCCCUUCUCUUCUUCCUGAUGGGUGCUCUGUUAUUAUGGCCCUCGCUCCUUGUCCCUCGUCCUUCCCCCUCCCCCUCCUCGCUCCUCUCUUCCACUCGUUGGCUUUUUGUACACUCACCACGUACGCCUUCACGCACGCGCAACAAGGAGAGUACAGAGCGAAGGAAAGGCCGAAGAUGUAUUGUGUGCCGAAACAAAAAAAAGCGAUGAGGGAGCGGCGGCUGAGGGACAGCAACGUGAAAAGUGAUCGAUGCAUGCACGACUACGCAGCUGCUGCUCCCCAUCCCCCUCCCUCUUGAAAGUGAUCCGCACGCAGACGUGUGCACCUGCAUGCCCUUGAGCGGUCCUCUUCUCGCACGUUGGCAUUCCUAUCUUUUCCCCUUCUUCUUUUGUGUGCCACCGUGUGUGCUUGGACUGUGUGUUGUAUGUCUGCAUGUGUGUCCGCCAACCUGAGGUUGAUGUCUCCUUGCCGGUUUUUCCUGAUCUCUUUCUCCAUCUCUCCACUACCCAUCCCCUGCGGGCCUCCGUUGCUCUUGUGUGUGCAUGUGUGCGUGUGUCUCGCUGAUCUCUUCACCCGCUCCCUAGUCGAUGCUUUUCCUUUUUUUUUGGUGCUUUCCGUCUCUCUUGUCGGCCUCCCUCUCGGCGGCGGUCUGCGCUCAGCCCCUCUGCUCGCCGCCUCCCCAUUCCCUCUUCCCACUACCACCACCGUCCCUCUUCCGUGUCUGCUACGCGCACAUCGUCACGUUUUACGUUGUCUCGCCUCUGCAUAGGAGGGGCCUUUCUUCCGGUCUGUCUCUCUUUCCCUAGACCUGUGCGCUGCUGUUCACUAAGCGUGGGCGCAUGUGUGAGUGUGUGCUUGCGCGACCAAGGAUCUUGCAUCCCGCACGCAUGUAUACGCGCUGGAAGGACGUGGACUCUGCAUGAGCACGCACACGAGCACCAACGUCGGAUCUCGUGCAACCUUCACGCUCUCACCUCACUGGCUGUCGCUGCCGUAUUAUUGUUAUUUUUUCUUUUAUGUACUUCCGUGUGGUCGAGAGCGUCAGAGGUGACUGCUCCAGAUCGAGGUAGACGGAGAACACGCUCACAAGCCAAGCCAGCCAACCAUGAAGCCAUCACCGACAGAGGAAACAGCAGCGGCACGCACAAGGCAUGAAGGACAG